GCCCGGGUGGCGGAAUAGGCAGACGCAGCAGACUUAAGAUCUGCCGCUCGCAAGAGCGUGCCAGUUCGACUCUGGCCCCGGGCACAA
This 87-nucleotide transfer RNA is filed under the name Candidatus Liptonbacteria bacterium GWB1_49_6. RNAcentral's name for it is "tRNA-Leu". It matches the Rfam family "tRNA". From Rfam's summary of the family: Transfer RNA (tRNA) molecules are approximately 80 nucleotides in length. Lineage: Bacteria; Candidatus Liptoniibacteriota. The record is from RNAcentral.